GAUGAACGCUGGCGGCAUGCUUUACACAUGCAAGUCGAGCGAACGCACGAGCAGCUUGCUUCCCUGAUGUUACCGGCGGACGGGUGAGUCACCCGUGCAUACCCUACCUAUAAGACUGGCUUAACUUCGGGCAAAUGGAGCUCAUAUAGGACGAUAUUUUGAACCGCAUGGUUCUACAGAGCACGCCGGUCUUGCUGUCACUAUUAGAUGGUUCCGCGUUGGAUUAGCUAGUUGGUAAGGUAACGGCUUACCAAGGCAACGAUGCGUAGACGACCUGAGAGGAUGAUCGGCCACACUGGAACUGAGACACGGUCCAGACUCCUACGGGAGGCAGCAGUAGGGAAUUUUCGGCAAUGGGCGAAAGCCUGACGGAGCAACGCCGCGUGAGUGAUGAAGGUCUUCGGAUCGUAAAGCUCUGUUAGUAGGAAAGAACAUAAGUGUAAGAAACUGUGCACAUCUUGACGGUACCUGAAGAGAAAGCCACGGCUAACUACGUG
This 497-nucleotide ribosomal RNA is filed under the name uncultured bacterium. RNAcentral describes it as "partial 16S ribosomal RNA". It matches the Rfam family "Bacterial small subunit ribosomal RNA", at positions 28 to 507 of the family's 1533-position model. The record is from RNAcentral.